This 72-nucleotide transfer RNA is filed under the name Pangasius djambal. RNAcentral describes it as "tRNA-Glu". It matches the Rfam family "tRNA". Rfam says of the family: Transfer RNA (tRNA) molecules are approximately 80 nucleotides in length. Their secondary structure includes four short double-helical elements and three loops (D, anti-codon, and T loops). Lineage: Eukaryota; Metazoa; Chordata; Actinopteri; Siluriformes; Pangasiidae. The record is from RNAcentral.
UCCCUGGAGGUCUAGUGGUUAGGCCACAGUGCUCUCACUGCUGCGGCCCGGGUCCGAUUCCCGGCCAGGGCA